AUGAAAUUUGCCUAUUUCCCCAAAUUUAGCCGACUCUCGCUCAAUCUGGUCUGAUCUGGUCUCCUCUUCUCCCCUGAAUUUGGCAGUAGUAACCCAAACUGUUAGCCAACUGCAAUCCUCCAUAACCGCGGCCUGCCUUCGCCGAUUUCUUUCUGCGGCUCUGCAUCCGGGUUGCAGCCGAGCAUUCGAGGUAAAUCGUUUUCUAUUUUGCUACCACCAGAUUUUUUAUUUUUAUUAUUAUUAUUAAUUUUUUUUGUUGUAACUUCAAGAAGUAAUUAAGUAUGAAUGAUGAGUUCACUUUUGAUGAUUUUUUUUAUUGUUUAAUGAGUGAUUAAGUAUGAAAGUUUGCAUACUUGAAAUUGAAAAUUGGUUUAGGGUUUAGGGUUCAGCUUUGAAAUUUGAAACAAGUACAACUCGUUGAAAACAGAAUGAAACUUAGAUAGUCUCACCAAGCCCUAAUUAAACAUAAUUAAAUCCUUUUGACUCAUUUAUUACUACAGUAAAGUAUUUAAUCUUAUGCUAAAGUAUAUAAACUUCAUUACUAUGGACUAUUUGACGG
Molecule: long non-coding RNA, 559 nt
Filed under: Olea europaea subsp. europaea
Lineage: Eukaryota; Viridiplantae; Streptophyta; Magnoliopsida; Lamiales; Oleaceae
Source: RNAcentral